This 253-nucleotide ribosomal RNA is filed under the name uncultured bacterium. RNAcentral describes it as "partial 16S ribosomal RNA". It matches the Rfam family "Bacterial small subunit ribosomal RNA", at positions 524 to 776 of the family's 1533-position model. The record is from RNAcentral.
GACAGAGGCCUCAAGCGUUAGGCGGAAUCACUGGGCUUAAAGCGUGUGUAGGCGGUUUGUCGCGUCGAAUGUGAAAACCCGGGGCUCAACCCCGGGCCUGCAUUCGAUACGGGCAGACUAGAGUUCGGUAGGGGAGUCUGGAAUUCCUGGUGUAGCGGUGAAAUGCGCAGAUAUCAGGAGGAACACCGGUGGCGAAGGCGGGACUCUGGGCCGAUACUGACGCUGAGGAGCGAAAGCGUGGGGAGCAAACAGG